AAAUAAGAAGAGUAAGACAAUCUCAGUUACCCACACACAAACUGGAUAAAUGUCUCCUAUGGACAAGCUUAAGAGACAUGGUGUUUGCAUGCAAAUAAAAUAAAUGACUGCUUCAUAGCACAUGUAGUAUUAGAAUCUACUAGAAAAAAAUGUUAUUUUAUUUUUCUUUUUUUUUUUUUCUAUUCUAGAUUUUAUUUUCAGUGGCACUGAGGGUUGAUAGGGCCACAGGAGGAAGGCCCAAAGACCACUCUUCAUUAAUGGCACAUGUCUGUUCCAUCCAUAAACAGAGAUCUACAGGGUGUCCUGAGAACUGUUGAUUAGCAAGUCUGAUUUCCAGUCCUAGUAAGGCAGUUUAAUCUGUGAUGAAGAGAAAGAACAUUGUGCUCUUAUGCCCAUCAGCACACAGCAAACAUGAUGCACAGGGCACAGACUGAGUAGCUCCAUGGAAAUCAGCAGACAUCACAGAUCCCCUGAGGAGCUCAGUUGAUGUUGAGAGCUUAUUUCACCAACAGGCUGAAAUGAUUCAGAACUCUCCUGGUCUGGAAUACAAGUCUUGCGAUGAGUGGAUGUGGGAUCUCGGAUUGUUUAUUCUAGAAAAGAGGAGGCUCAGGACAGAUCUUACCACUCACUCUGCAAUGACCUGAAAGAAGGCUGUAGCAAGAAAUCUAUUAACCAAAGAGUCUGGAGCAGCCACUCAUAAAGUACUGAAGACCAAAUUCACCAAUAUUGUAUUUGAAGAUGAAACUCAGACCAGUUUGGACUCACAACUGGAUGUGUAAGGACACAUUCUUGCAUUCAGAUGAGAUAGAUGGAAUGAUUUUCGGCAUUGCUCAUGUACCUUGGGCAUGGAAGGUGGACUUCAAAGUGAAAGUAUAUCUGCUCAGCAUCUUCUCAUCUGUGAGGCUGACACAUGCCACUUGGAGAACAAAAGUGACUUUAGGAAGGAAUGACACUAAUUUUCAAAAAUCAAAGCCUUAAGCCUGCAUUCUAUAUUUUUAUGCUGACAAGUCAUUGACAAGAGUAUCAAGAAAUGGAGGCCACAAGAAACCUACAAAUUCCCUGCAGAAGGAUACCUGGGACAUAAUCAGGAUGAGUGAGUACUGAUGCAGUGUAGGCAUGUGAAGAAAUACUAAGGGAUUCUUAUCAGUAGGCCUUUAAGAAUUAUCAUUGCUCGAAACACUUUGUUGACCUUGAUGCCUAAAGCUAUACUGCUUUAUCAAUAUGAAGGGGAGGAUUUCACAGACUGUAGUCCAGGCAAAUGCCUUGGAUACUUUGAAGAAUGAAAAUGAAGAGUGACCAUAUCUUCUGGGGUCAACCUGAGACUGUAUUUCUGACUCUUUCUGAAUUGGCUAAGCACUCUUUCUUGAUAGAUCAGCUCAAUAGUGAAGAGAUGAUAGGUGGAGAUUCCAAUUUUUUUUUAAUGGCUUGGCAAGGAAGGCCCAAAAAUUACUAAGGACAGCAAAUGUGAGACAAAGCAGACGAUGUGAGGAAAGGAAAAGCCUCACCUUUUAUUCACGCUUAUUGUAAAAACGUUAUUUAUGGGCUAAUAAGUAUGGACUAAUUUAUGGACUAAUUCAUCAGUACCUGAUGAAUGACAGCCACUUGACUCGUAUAAACUCUGUCCCUUAAUGUGAUCCAUGAAUGAAGAUUGUGAACUCAUGCAGCGUCUCAUUAAAGAUCUGCUAAAAAGAUAUUGGAAAAUUACAGAAGUUCAGAUUGGAAGAUUACAAGCACACCUAUGCUUAUGCUGAUCUGAAACUAAAGUCAUAUAUUUAUUAUUGUAUAUCUUAUGGAAAUAAUGGUGGUGUUAUUUGUGAGUAGUUUCUUAGUUAUACUAAAUUCUGGUUUCUUAGAAAUACUUCCUUUGUAAAUGAUGAGCUAACGCUGAGGGGAAAAAUGCUAUUAUGAUUUUAUGGCAGCCAAGAGGUAUUAUUUAAUGCAAAAACCAUUAGCACAAGGUCAUAAUUAUGCAGUCACUUGAAAUGCCCUCUUUUAAGAUACUCUGAAAUUCUGUUUACUUUCUUUAAAAACUCAUGACUAUGUAUCAUAAAGAUAGAAAUUGUACAUAUACCUGUAUUUACUUAUUUACAUUUCAAAUUAUAGAAAUUUCUGUCCAAAACAGCAGGGUUUCUUCAUAACUAUUCAUGUUUCCAACACAAUAGGACAAAAGGAGAAACUCCAAAGGAAAUACAAAGGACUUUUUAGGUCUCAGGGAUAUUUUCUCAAUCAUUACCAUUAUCCUAAUCCUUAGAAUGAAAAGUUGUAAAGCACAAAUAGGAAAAUGAAGAGAAAACAAUACAGUUCCUCUUGCAUAUUAUCUGUAGAUAAAUGUUCAGAUUAAGAGUGAUUUUGAUUUGUUUCUAAAUCAACAUUACUUUUUGUGUUCCUUAAGGAAUAACAAGUUACAUCUUUAGCUGCAAGUAGCAAAGAAUUUUCUAAAGACAGUAGUUAUUUUUAACAGUAGUUAAUAGCUUGUGACUUUAUUCACAUUUUCCACAAAUUCUUACUGAGAGGAUUUGUUACAGUAGAAAAAAGUUCCUGCUCUGUAGCAGGAAAUUUGUUUGAAGCCUAUUUUCAAAUGGCUAUUUGAACCCGUCAUAUAUUUAUACUUUUAAAAGCACAUAACCCAAUUUUCUUUUCUCUAACAUAUGACCUUUGUUUCUUUAUGAUAAAGACACCAUGAAAGAGCUUUUGCUAUUCUAUUUUGAAGGCUUUCAUUCUCUGCCAUUGUUAAAUCAUAAAAAUAUCAGUAAUGUCAUAUAAGUUUUGUGAAAAGAUUCAUUUAAGGUACUUCUACCUCCAUUCAGAUCUUUGUUGAUUAAAACUGAAAGAGAGAACAUGCGAUGUCAUUAGAAAUUUGCAUAUACUAUUUUCCAACUAAGUGAUCAGAGGUGCUAAAAAGAAACUAUCACACAAGCUGGUUGAUGGCAUGAUGGCACAAUGGCAUGAUCACAUAAGAAUCAUGCAUGCCUGUCUUGGAUGAAUUGACCUUUUAUUUCCACAAAAUUUUGAAAAAAGCUAUAUGCUUCCUAAAUGAGUUCUUUGAAAGAGUCAGCAAUUGUGUGGAGAAAAUUUCACAUCUAAUAUUAUAUUCUUGGAUUCCCAAAACUCUUAUGAUGGAUUUUAAAGAAACUAAACUGUCAUGCAGGAAAAUACUUUUGCACAUACGUACAUAAUUGAAGAAUAUAUAACAAAUAUGAAUAAAUCCUUAUUCCUCAAGGAGAUUGUCAGAGUCCCAUAUGGGGCCAUCUUACAUUCCUAAACAUUCUGCAAUACAGGUUGAAUAAUGAGAUGAAAAAGUAAGCAAACUAUACAAGAUUGACCUCACUGUUUAAAACUAAAAGUGACCACAGUGCUCCCCAUGUAAGCAUUUCAUAAUGUUGAGUAGCAGAUUGAUAAAAUGAAAAAUAAAAUUCAUAGCCAGUAAUUGUCAUAAUGCAUGUGGUAAAAAUAAGCUCAACUAUACCUACAAAUGCUGAACUCUGAAUGGAAUUCUAUCAGAUGGGAUAUGGAAGUUUUAGGUUUUUUAAUGUACAUAUAUUUAUGGUCUGCAACUCAAUGCUUAGUCAAAAGAAAAAUUGAAUGCCAGGAAAAAUUGAGAAGAUAAUUGAAAAUAAAAGAGGAACUCAUUAUAUUUCUGAUGCAAACUGCUGUUAAUUAUCAUGCCUUGUUCUGGUGAUUCCACCUCAAAAUAAAUAGAUAGAUA
This is a long non-coding RNA of Tympanuchus pallidicinctus (lesser prairie-chicken), 3706 nucleotides long. RefSeq lists it as uncharacterized. Lineage: Eukaryota; Metazoa; Chordata; Aves; Galliformes; Phasianidae. The transcript has 5 exons. The record is from RefSeq and is a predicted model, not a curated record.